Molecule: ribosomal RNA, 483 nt
Filed under: Palaemon paucidens
Lineage: Eukaryota; Metazoa; Arthropoda; Malacostraca; Decapoda; Palaemonidae
Description: partial 16S ribosomal RNA
Rfam family: Bacterial large subunit ribosomal RNA
Source: RNAcentral
GUCUAUAUAGAUUCUUAAUAUAAAGUCUAACCUGCCCACUGAGUUAUUAAAGGGCUGCGGUAAUUUGACCGUGCAAAGGUAGCAUAAUCAGUAGUCUUUUAAUUGAAGGCUUGAAUGAACGGUUGGAUGAGGGAAAAACUGUCUCUUUUAUAAAUUGAAACUUGACCUUUAAGUGAAAAGGCUUAAAUUAACUAAGGGGACGAUAAGACCCUAUAAAACUUAAUAUAAAUUAUAUUUUGUUCUUAAAUUAUAAAUAAUCAUAAUAAAAUCUAGUUUAUAUUUUGUUGGGGAGAUAUUGAUAUAAAUUGUAACUGUCUAAUCUAAAAAAUAUAAUUAUUAUUAUAAUGUGAUCCUUCACUGGGGAUAAAAAGAAUAAGUUACUUUAGGGAUAACAGCGUAAUUUUUUCUGAGAGUUCUUAUCGAAGAAAGUAGUUGCGACCUCGAUGUUGAAUUAAAAUUUCAGUUAGGUGUAGCCGCUUAGCU